Molecule: transfer RNA, 76 nt
Filed under: Sphaerobolus stellatus SS14
Lineage: Eukaryota; Fungi; Basidiomycota; Agaricomycetes; Geastrales; Sphaerobolaceae
Description: tRNA-Asp (GTC) (tRNA-Asp-GTC-18-1)
Rfam family: tRNA
About the family: Transfer RNA (tRNA) molecules are approximately 80 nucleotides in length. Their secondary structure includes four short double-helical elements and three loops (D, anti-codon, and T loops). Further hydrogen bonds mediate the characteristic L-shaped molecular structure. tRNAs have two regions of fundamental functional importance: the anti-codon, which is responsible for specific mRNA codon recognition, and the 3' end, to which the tRNAs corresponding amino acid is attached (by aminoacyl-tRNA synthetases). tRNAs cope with the degeneracy of the genetic code in two manners: having more than one tRNA (with a specific anti-codon) for a particular amino acid; and 'wobble' base-pairing, i.e. permitting non-standard base-pairing at the 3rd anti-codon position.
Source: RNAcentral
UCUUAGGUAGUAUGGUGGUUAGUAUUCGCGCCUGUCAAGCGCACCCGAGACCGGGGUUCAAUUCCCCGCCUGAGAG